This 713-nucleotide long non-coding RNA is filed under the name Manihot esculenta (cassava). RNAcentral's name for it is "long non-coding RNA (MESC_LNC012309)". The record is from RNAcentral. Lineage: Eukaryota; Viridiplantae; Streptophyta; Magnoliopsida; Malpighiales; Euphorbiaceae.
UCUGGGCCCACAACAGUAGAUAUUGUCCGCUUUGGGAGAGCCCGUGGCCCAUCUUACCCCUCACGGUUUUGUUUCUAAGGGAGAGCCGAAGCCCGUCUUACCCCUUAAAACGCGUCUACUGUGGUCUCUUGGGGCUUGCCAUUAUAAGGCGUCCCCCCUCCUUACCUCUUUCCGAUGUGGGAUACUUUCAAUCCACCUCAUAGGGCUUCUACCCCCCAUAAGGCCUGAGCGUCCUCGCUCAGCACACCGUACUCAUGAGGCCCAGGCUUUGAUACCAAUUGUAACAUCCUCUGGGCCCACAACAGUAGAUAUUGUCCGCUUUGGGAGAGCCCAUGGCCCAUCUUACCCCUCACGGUUUUGUUUCUAAGGGAGAGCCGAAGCCCGUCUUACCCCUUAAAACGCGUCUACUGUGGUCUCUUGGGGCUUGCCCUUAUAAGGCGUCCCCCCUCCUUACCUCUUUCCGAUGUGGGAUACUUUCAAUCCACCUCAUAGGGCUUCUAAAUUGGAACAAUUGGUACUCACUCUCACCAGACUAUUCCCUUAAAGUGGGAGGUCAAGGGUUCGAGCAGUGGGGGAGGCGACCUAAUUUCCAAAGGGAAAUUUGGGCCAAAUCCACUUGGGGUAAGAUGGGCCGUAGGUGCUCUCCCGAGGGACAAAUCCUGCCCGGAUCCCGUGAGGGUGAGGGGAUGUUAAGAGCUGCCCACAGGGCCGGU